UUCGCAUGCACACAACAACACCGGGCUUGCGUGCAUGAGCAUUCAGAGGCGGGGCACAUAGUGAAUUAUCUUCCAUAUGCAGUACUGCUGUUUAGCAUUGCUGUGAACAAGGAGAGUCAAUGUGUAUUGCAUUGAACCUGGAUGUGUU
RNAcentral lists this unclassified non-coding RNA (148 nucleotides) under Alexandrium tamarense. RNAcentral's name for it is "partial 3' external transcribed spacer". The record is from RNAcentral. Lineage: Eukaryota; Dinophyceae; Gonyaulacales; Pyrocystaceae.